This 247-nucleotide long non-coding RNA is filed under the name Elaeis guineensis (African oil palm). RNAcentral's name for it is "long non-coding RNA (EGUI_LNC012881)". The record is from RNAcentral. Lineage: Eukaryota; Viridiplantae; Streptophyta; Magnoliopsida; Arecales; Arecaceae.
UCGGCUAUGGACGAGCUAAAAUAGAUCAUCCAAAGCUGAGGUUUUGGAGACCGUGGAGCAUGCAUUGUUAACCUUAGAUGAUUUGGAAUUAGUCGGUUAUGGAUAAUCUAAAAUAGAUCAUCUAAGGCUGAGGUGAAAUCGUCGGCAAGGGCUGAGGACAGAUAGCAGCCACAGCCAACUCCAUAGAGGAUACCCAACAACCUUCGUGACUAUUAUAUACAUAUGACCUGACAAGCGUCCAUCUCCC